GAUCAUGGCUCAGGAUGAACGCUAGCGAUAGGCUUAACACAUGCAAGUCGAGGGGCAGCAUGGUCUUAGCUUGCUAAGACUGAUGGCGACCGGCGCACGGGUGCGUAACGCGUAUGCAACUUGCCUCACAGAGGGGGAUAACCCGUCGAAAGACGGACUAAUACCGCGUACACUCCACCUUGGGCAUCCAAGGAGGAGGAAAUGAAUUUCGCUGUGAGAUAGGC
Molecule: ribosomal RNA, 224 nt
Filed under: uncultured bacterium
Lineage: Bacteria
Description: partial 16S ribosomal RNA
Rfam family: Bacterial small subunit ribosomal RNA
Source: RNAcentral